RNAcentral lists this unclassified non-coding RNA (329 nucleotides) under Solilutibacter tolerans. RNAcentral describes it as "Lysobacter tolerans Long range pseudoknot". The record is from RNAcentral. Lineage: Bacteria; Pseudomonadati; Pseudomonadota; Gammaproteobacteria; Lysobacterales; Lysobacteraceae.
ACCGAUGAAGGCGACUACCAGAUCAAGCUGCGCAACAUGCGCCGUUUCCUGGAAGAGGGCGACAAGAUCAAGGUCAACAUCCGUUUCCGUGGCCGCGAGAUGAGCCAUCAGGAACUGGGCCGCGAGAUGGCGGCGCGCAUCGAGGCCGAUUUGGGCGAGGACAUCGUGAUCGAAUCGCGUCCGCGCCUGGAAGGUCGCCAGAUGGUGAUGAUGAUCGCGCCGAAGAAGCGUUGAUCCUCAAGCCGGCUAGGUAACAAAGAACACGCGCCUUCGGGCGCGUUGUUCGUUUCUGGAGUGGCGUGCCGUGGGCCGAAGUGACAUCCACUUGA